This is a long non-coding RNA of Homo sapiens (human), 1884 nucleotides long. Ensembl annotates it as small nucleolar RNA host gene 17. Its record names the gene SNHG17. The record is from Ensembl. Lineage: Eukaryota; Metazoa; Chordata; Mammalia; Primates; Hominidae.
UUUUUUUUUUUUUUUUAACAUUGCACACAUAAGUGAGAUAUGCACUGUUUGUCUGUGUCUAGCUUAUUUCAUUUAACAUAAUAUCCUCCAGGUCCAUCCAUGUUGUGGCAAAUGACAGGAUCUUUCUCUAUCUUUUUCUUUUUUUUGGUUGAGACAGGGUCUCCCUCUGUCACCCAGGCUGAAGUUAAGCCCAGGAGACAGAGGUUGCAGUGAACUGUGUUUGCUCACUGCAACCUCUGUCUCCUGGGCUUAAGUGACCCUCCCACCUCAUUUCCCUGAGUAGCUGGGACUGCAGGUGCAUGCCACUAUGCCUGGUUAAUUUUUGUAUGUUUUGUAUAGAUGGGGUUUCGCGAUGUUGCCCAGGCUGGUCUCCAACUCCUGGGCUUAAACCAUCCUUCUGCUUUCGCUUCCAAAAGUGCUGGGAUUACAGGCAUGGACUGCCAUGCCUAGCCCAGGGUCUUCUUUUUUUUUUUUGAGAUGGAGUUUUGCUCUUGUUGCCCAGGCUGGAGUGCAGUGGUGCGAUCUCAGCUCACUGCAACCUCCACCUCCCAGGUUCAAGUGAUUCUCCUGCCUCAGCCUCCCGAGUAGCUGGGGUUACAGGUGCAUGCCACCACGCCUGGAUAAUUUUUUGUAUUUCUAGUAGAGAUGGGGUUUCACCAUGUUGGUCAGUCUGGUCUUGAACUCCUGACCUCAAGUGAUCCACCCACCUCGGCCCCCCAAAGUACUGGGAUUACAGGUGUGAGCCACCGCGCCUGGCCAAGGGUCUUCUUUUUAAGGGUGAAUAAUGUUUUGUUGUGUGUGCGUGUGUGUGUGUGCGUAUGCCACAUUUUCUUUUUCCAUUCAUCUGUUGAUGGAGACUUAGAUUGUUUCCGUAUCUUGGCGAUUGGGAGUAAUGCCGCAGUGAAUAUUGGAGUGCAGAUGUCUUUAUGAGGUGUGAUUUGAUCUCCAUUGAGUAUGUGUCCAGAAGAGGGAUAGCUGGGUCUAUGUAAUGUAUACUGAUAAGCAGCACAGAGUGGGCACAUAGGAUAGCAUAGAUGCCAUUUUUCUCACAGAUAGUUUGCCGACCUCUUCCUAGAGUUACGUUUUUCUUGUUCCUGAGACAAUAAUGUGGCUGUAAGUACUAAUAGAGACAGUGGCAUUUGUGGGUUGCUUAUGAUCUGCCAGCCCCUGCGUUAAGUGUUCUCUGUGUCUGUUUCAGAUGGGUCUGCUGUGUGCAGAGGCUCCAUGGGAUGUGUUGUCUUCAUAGUAGCAGGGCGCUGGACCAUGGGUCCGCAAGGUGGGAUUUUUGGACUGUUGUCUGGAAUAUGUUUCUUUGCAUCCUGCAGAGUCAUGUGCUGUUCCUGGGGCUUGGAUGAUGUAGGGGAAGCAAGGUGAAAGUGGUAUCCCGUGGUUCCACGUUCUGUCCUGCUGUGGGGCUGUCCCUCACAUGCUUUCAGUGGCUGUUGCAGAGGAAGAGCCUCCGGAAAUCUGCGUGGGUAAAGUCUCAGCCUUAGAUCCAAGGACAGUCCAAGGAAGUCCUAAGACCAUGGAGUUGGUGAUCUGGGAUCUGGGUUUGCUGAUAUUUCUCACCGUGAAUCUCUUGGUGGUGUUUGUGGGCACGAGAGGGGCAGAGAAUGGAGAGUGAGGCUACCACAUGAAGCGUCACCAGAGCUGCUCCCUGCUGCCUGCUCAGAGCACCCCGGAUCCACUGUUCAAUCUGCACAAGAUUCGGGGUCCAGACAUGGGAGACUUCAGCUGCCUCAGAGGACCGUGGACAGGGAAGGCCAGCCUCGCAUCCCUCUGUCCAUGCCUGGAAUGACUUUAAUAACCAAGAGUUUUAUUUUUGAAUUUGUAGCUGUCGUUCACUUUUUACCCACCCAUUCAAUAAACCUUACAGAAUUGCUC